This 321-nucleotide unclassified non-coding RNA is filed under the name Hevea brasiliensis (rubber tree). Lineage: Eukaryota; Viridiplantae; Streptophyta; Magnoliopsida; Malpighiales; Euphorbiaceae. The record is from RNAcentral.
AAAAUUGAAUUUUUUUUUUCCUACCCGUUGCAUAUUUCAAGAACUGAAAACGGGAAGAAUGAUUAGUAAUGGUGGAAUGCAAGAUGGCUUGUAUUUGUUGGAUGACAGUGUUGGUUUAUCAAAGCCUAAAGCUUUGCUAGUAAAUUGAAUAGGAGCUGAUCAGGAGAUCACUCAGUGGCAUAAAAGAUUAGAACAUCAUUCAUUUUCAACCUUAGAAAGGUUAUAUUCCAUUUUGUUUAGACAAUGCAAAUCAAAAUCAUUAGUUUGUGAUGCUUGUGAACUUGUUAAAUACACAAGGAAUUCUUAUCCUUCAAUAAAUAA